This 879-nucleotide ribosomal RNA is filed under the name Triticum aestivum (bread wheat). RNAcentral's name for it is "partial small subunit ribosomal RNA". The record is from RNAcentral. Lineage: Eukaryota; Viridiplantae; Streptophyta; Magnoliopsida; Poales; Poaceae.
AUGGAGUCCACGAAGAUCUCCGCGCUGCUGGUGCUCGCCAUGCUGGCGCUCUCCUCGCCCACCGUCGUGCUCGCGUGCUCCCCCGCCUCCGGGUGCGGCAGCGGCACCCCGUCGAGCGGCACGCCCUCGGCCGGCGGCGUCAGCAUACCCCCGGUCGGCGGUAUCGUUGGCACCGUCACUCCGAUCAUCGGCGGCGCCGUCCCCACCGUCGGCGGUGUCGUCGGCAAAGUCACCCCGGUCAUCGGCGGUGUCGUCGGCGGCGCCGUCCCCACCGUGGGCGGUGUCGUCGGCAAAGUCACCCCAGUCGUCGGCGGCGCCGUCCCCACCGUGGGCGGUGUCGUCGGCAAAGUCACCCCAGCCGUCGGCGGCGCCGUCCCUGCCGCCGGUGGCGUGGUCUCUCCUGUCGUCGGCACCGUAGGCGGCGUGGUUGGCGGCGUCCCCGUCGUCGGGGGAGUUGUCACUCCCGUCAUCGGCGUCGUGGCUCCCAUCAUCGGGGGCUCCCCGUCCCCCAAGACCCGCCACGGCGGACGCAAGGCGUGCCCUCCCUCGCCCCCGACCCCCACCCCGUCUCCCCCGACCCCGGCGCCGACUCCGCCGACGCCCACGCCUAGCCCCACGCCCUCCUCCGACACGUGCCCGAUCGACACGCUGAAGCUGGGCGUGUGCCUGGACCUGCUCGGCAACGAGCUGCACAUCGGCGACGCCAGCGUCAAGUGCUGCCCGCUCGUGGAGGGCAUCGCCGGGCUCACCGCCGCGGCGUGCCUCUGCACGGCCAUCAAGGCCAAGGUGCUCAACCUCGCCCUCUACGUGCCGCUCGCCCUCCAGCUGCUCGUCAACGACUGCGGCUGCGCCGUGCCCCCGGGCUACACCUGCGCCUGA